GACGAACGCUGGCGGCGUGCUUAACACAUGCAAGUCGAACGGAAAGGCCCUGCUUGCAGGGUACUCGAGUGGCGAACGGGUGGGUAACACGUGGGUGAUCUGCCCUGCACUUCGGGAUAAGCUUGGGAAACUGGGUCUAAUACCGGAUAGGAACCAUCUUUAGUGUGGUGGUUGGAAAGUUUUUUCGGUGUAGGAUGAGCUCGCGGCCUAUCAGCUUGUUGGUGGGGUAAUGGCCUACCAAGGCGGCGACGGGUAGCCGGCCUGAGAGGGUGUACGGCCACAUUGGGACUGAGAUACGGCCCAGACUCCUACGGGAGGCAGCAGUGGGGAAUAUUGCACAAUGGGCGCAAGCCUGAUGCAGCGACGCCGCGUGGGGGAUGAAGGCCUUCGGGUUGUAAACUCCUUUCGCUAGGGACGAAGCUUUGUUGUGACGGUACCUAGAUAAGAAGCACCGGCUAACUACGUG
RNAcentral lists this ribosomal RNA (466 nucleotides) under uncultured bacterium. RNAcentral's name for it is "partial 16S ribosomal RNA". It matches the Rfam family "Bacterial small subunit ribosomal RNA", at positions 28 to 507 of the family's 1533-position model. The record is from RNAcentral.